UUCUCCCUGUGUAGCUCUGGCUGUUCUAGAACUUGCUAUGUGACCCAGGAUGGCCUCAAUCCUUAACGAUUUGCCUACCUCAGCCUCACAGGUGUUUAGGAUUACAUGGGUAAGCUGCUGUUAAACCUGAGAGUCAAGAGACCAUUUCAAGACUCCCAGAAAAUUGCCACAAGUCACAUUUUGCCGAAGCUUACUAAGGCAAAUCCUAAAGGCUACCCAUUCAGGUUCAAUCAGGCAAGCAUCUAUCCUGCCGUACUUCCCGCCUGCAUACCUCCUAUGUCCAAUCAAUUACAUCGGUGCAGUUGAGGGGUGCGAAAACAUGUGGCUGGUUAUCUCACAAACCCCCAGGAAUGACAGGAAGUCAUCGGCCCUUGAGCAAGUGGGGCUUACAGGUUAACUUACACCCCUACACCACCACACCCAGUUUAAAAGACCUGAUUUAAAGAAACGAAUUUUUGCCCGUCAGAAGAUUGUAGCUGACAUCUGGUGGUGGUUUCAUUUGCAUGUUCCUUGUUGGUGGUAAGCGUGAACAUUUUGAUACGUCGAUCAGCUACUACAGUUUCUUCCAUCUUUGUCUCAUUUCUGCUCCCCGGAUGUCACGACGUGAACUGCUCUGCUCAUGAAUGCCUGUCUAUCCACACUCAUGAGCCCACUGACAAAUGAAUCUCCCCUCCCUCAAGUUACUUUUCCUAGGCAUUUGGUCUCAGGAACAUAAAAGCCUGAUACAGUGAUAGCUCUUUAUCCUAGAUCCUCCAUGGACUUGCACAGAUUUGUGGUGACCAUCCUUUAGAUUGUCCUUGUCAUCUUGGAAGUCCUUCCUUAUCCCCCCCGCUUUCUAGAUCACAUUCUUUGACUUUUUACAAUGUAAUUUUUUCUAUUGAUUCUUUCAGAGUUUCACAUUAUGCACCCCAACCCCACUCAUUUCCCAGUCUGUCCAUAUUCUCCUCCAGCCCUUGUAACCUCCCCAACUCGAAAAAUAAAAUAAAAAAUAAAAAUAA
Molecule: long non-coding RNA, 998 nt
Filed under: Mus musculus (house mouse)
Lineage: Eukaryota; Metazoa; Chordata; Mammalia; Rodentia; Muridae
Description: long non-coding RNA chr11:102710612-102711610
Source: RNAcentral